AAAUCUUGUGUCGUUAGCAAAAACUGUGAUAACUCUUUAGGUAUUCCUUCGAACAAGAAGCCAGAAAGUACAGAAAAUGACAGCCCUUCUACGAGUGAUUAGCCUGGUCGUGAUUAGCGUGGUGGUGAUUAUUAUCCCACCGUGCGGGGCUGCACUUGGACGAGGAAAGGCUUAAAAAACAAGCCUUAACGAACUAAGACCCCCGCACCGAAAGGUCCGGGGGUUUUUUUAUGGCCUUAAAACAACAGCGAGGAGCAAAGAAUGGGUUGUAGCACAAAAUUCUGUUUCUCACGAUUUAC
The sequence is a regulatory RNA element, 299 nucleotides long. It matches the Rfam family "Soft rot Enterobacteriaceae Rev 39 5'UTR". Rfam says of the family: From bacteria cultured under starvation conditions. The record is from Rfam.